CUGGCUUGUAUAUCUGAUUUGAAAUAAUCAUUGUGAUUUUCUGUGCAGGUUUUGAAUAUGUGUGCCAUCAAGUGGUCCAACACUGAUUUUUUAUGUUCUGUUUAGUGAUUUGGUGGACUGGCGGCGAUAAGGAAACCUUAUCCACAUGCCUCGAUUCAGCAAACGCCCAUGAAAUGGCAUGCUUAACUGUUCCUCCAGCUAACACCAUUACAUUUUUGAUUAUUGUCAUAUCAACUUCAAGUUCGUCAGCUCUACGAAUUUCUUCAAGGUCUUCUGCCUCUGUUAUUAUAUUGCUAACAAACUCUGCCGGUAUAUCUCAAUUACCAUCUUCAACACCACUUGUGUCUGCCUCUUCAGUGUCAUUUCCUCUCUGGGAAGUGAAAGAGAGAUUCUGUUCAGACAUGUUAAAGCCUUGUCAGAUCCUUCUGGUAAAGAAACUCCACAAAACUUGGGUCCAAAUAUGUCGUCCUUCUCAAUCAAACAAAUUCAAAUGUUCAAAUCCUUAUCAGGUAAACGAUCAUAUCUUUUCGAUUAUAAUUUUAGGCUGCAAACUUAAUACAUCCCGCAAGCUUGUUGCUGCCGGCCGGAAUAAAACCAAAAAAAAUGACCAUAUUUCGUUUCCCCAGUCUUCCUUGGGAGUGUUACAUUUAUGACGUGGGUUUGUACUUCUACAUCCCGUCAUUGUACUAUUGUUAAUUUGUGGAUUUAUU
Molecule: long non-coding RNA, 710 nt
Filed under: Mytilus galloprovincialis (Mediterranean mussel)
Lineage: Eukaryota; Metazoa; Mollusca; Bivalvia; Mytilida; Mytilidae
Source: RNAcentral